CCCAGCAGAGCUUGGCUGUUCCUUGAACUUUCAGUGUUGGUUCGAUUUCCUCCAGUGGUACCACAUGCUGCUGUGCAAACAGAACACGUGGUCGGGCCAAACAAAGGAACAUGUGUGCUGCAAACCAUCCCCCCUAUCACGGGAGCUCGAGCUCGGCCAGGAGAGGGCCCGGCCGGCGCGCGAUUUUAUUUAUUUAUUUGACAGAGAGAGAGCGAGCGACAUCACAAGUAGGCAGAGCAUCAGGCAGAGAGAGAGAGGGAAGCAGGCUCCCUGCUGAGCAGAAAGCCCAAUGCGGGACUCCAUCCCAGGACCCCGAGUUCAUGACCUGAGCUGAAGGCAGAGGCUUUUUAACCCACUGAGCCACCCAGGUGCUCCAGGCCUUUUAUGUUCUCACUGGAGAAGUCACAAAAUGGAAGUUGAUUCUUUCCAGGACUUUUCUUGACUCUAAGCCUCUCUGGUGUUCAGGAAAAAAAAAAGAUGAGCGCAAUGAGUCAGCAACACCAAAGAACAACAAUGCUACCCCAGGUCUGCGGCCAUAGUUGCACUUGUAGAGUAAGCUUCCUUCUGGAUUUUUCCCAUGGACGAAUUGCCUUCAUUUUGAACACUGCUCAGGUAGCUGCUGAUUUCCUGGUACCAAUGUCACUGUUUUACACAUAAUGGUGAACAGACUGAAGAGAUCAAAUUAAAUCCAUUUCCACUUUAGGGUAGGAAAUUUGUUUGGAACAAUCAAGAGGGUUUGGAGCAGUAAGCAUGGGUUUUCAAUUGCCAUCAAAUGGCAAAUUGCUUAAUGUCAAUUGGCAUUAAGUGGACUGAUUUGUACCCAAUUAAUAUGCGGUGGUUGGAAAGGAAGAAAACAAUUUCAUUUAGCUAGAUUGUUCCUCCCUGGGUUCAUCUCGCAUGGACUCCAAGCGGUUUGCAGACAUUCUCUUUUAUUCUAUAAAUCCCCUACCCCUGUGAGCCACAUCCUCCCUUGUUGGGAAGCGUGUGGCCUUGGAAAACUCACUUGGAGUAUUUCCAUGCUCCGCAGCCCCAUUUAGGGAAUGGCUACUACAGGCCUCCGCCCAUCCCCGCUCGAGGCAACACAACGUCAGUGAUGUAAAAGAGUUCAUGCGGCUUGCAGAAGCAUUUCAUUUCCAACCAGAGCUCGCUUUGGGCCCUGGAGAAAGCAGGUCUACUGGCCAUGAGGCUGAAUUAUGGGGCCAAGCCACUCCUAGCAUUUGCUUGAAAGACUCCCGCUGGAGAAUCCAAGGGAUCAAAUUAGUGCUAGCGGUGACAAGUCAGAUGCACGAAGACCCAGAUUCUCGGCAAGAUCUGAACGCCCCCCACCCCGGCUUUGACAAACAGCCCCAGAGGAAGCCCAGGGCACCCAGUCACUGCCCGCUAAAAUGCGGGCACACAGAAGCUUAGCCACAUCCAUGUUCCAGAGACUCCCCAAAUGGGAGAAAAACCCUGUGAGCCCACCCUGGCCGACUGGAGCAGGAUGAAUGAUAGCCGUCUCAUUUUCACAUCCAUAGAUUUUAUGCUCCCUUUGGUCAGUAAUUUACAUUUAUAUAGACUCUUUCAAACUCUGGGUUCUAAAAUGGCUUUGCUGGUUUAUAUGUUAGGGCACCGCUUUGUAUCAGCAGUUGGCUCUGUGUGUAUAAACAGAACCUGACCAUCUGUAUUUAAACAAAAGCAUGUGGCUCAGUUUUAACUUGGUCAUUUUAAGCCAUACCAUACUUGGAUGAAUUCCUCCGAGUGGGUUUUUUUUUGUUGUUGUUGUUUUUUGUUUUUUUUUUUUUUGUAAGGGCACAUAAAUGUGUAUGGUGCUUCUGGAGGAACCCUUUAGUCGGACUCUGUUUUGAUGCCAGGUGGUUCUGUAGCUCUCCUUCCUCCAUGAUUUAUGUCUGAACAUGAAAAGAUGCAAUAUGACUGAGAAAAAUACGAGCGAUGACUUUCUCUUUCAGACUGAACCCAAAAGGCGUGCUCCGCUCUUUUCCAUGAGUUUGUCCAAAGCAACACCUGAAGAGAGAAAUAGUGUCCAUGAAAAUCACUUAAGCCACUUGCCAGUCUCCAGCCAGAAGGGUGCUUAUGCCUGCUGUUAUUAUGGAGAGUGGCAGCUUCCGAAGAUUUCUGGAAGAUUUCUGCAUCUAGAGUCAGAAGGCUUAGGUCGGAGCCAGAUCAGUACAAGCUAGGAGCAGAGAGACCUUAGUUUCCAAAUUUAAGUGCAGAUAUACUGAUUCUGUUUGCUCAAGAUGGUUGUUGAGGAGGGACGGACAUCUGCCUGGGGCAUCAGUCACCAGUGACCACCGAGAGUUGAUUCAGCUGUUUGGUUGACUAGACAGAGGUCUCUACCACUUCCUGGUUUAGUUGGAGAGAAUGGCUUUUCCAGGUAGAGGAGGACUGUUCUUGGGUCACCGUUAUGUGGACAGAACUGUUGCAAGGACUAAACAUGAUAAUGUAUACAAAAGAGAUUUCUUACUACAGAGAGCCAUAUGAAUUCAUACAAAUCCUUGUGCAGGAAUGUGCUGGGCUCUGUUUUUCCUGGAGUGUAAUACCCAAGACUGCCAGUGGGUCUAGCUACUGAACCCAAGAUGUUGUAGACUCAGUGACUUAGACUGACCUGAGCCAAAAUCAAGAGUCAGGCACUUAACCUACUGAGCCACCCGGGAGCCCCUAUUCCUUAUUUAAAAAAAAAACAAAACAAAACUGUAUCCUUGCACCAAGUCGCAUAGCAUCCAGCCCUAGUAGUAUUAAACCUAUUAGAUUUAAUAAAAUGUAGUUGAGUAAAAUUUCAAACUGAACAAAAGAGCAAAAUUUCACCUGGGGAUGAUUGCUACCUCCUGCCAACUUUUCAGCCUCGGUUAAAGAGGCCACAAUGAAAAGCAGAUGAAGCAUGUUAUGGUGUGAAGCAGUCCAAGGUCAAUGGAGAAGCACUUCUCAGCAAAGAAUAUAUGUUCACAGCAUCACUUGAUACAGAUUUAGAAGUAAUGGAAACUAUCUCAGAUUGCCAUGGGGUACCCCACCACCCUGAAAUUUAGGGAGCUGGAGAUUGAUUUAUACUUUUCUGUUCAUUGUUAUUACCUACCUUCCCCCCUUUCCUCCCUCCUCCUUAGCCAGACAUGUGCUCACAAUGUGAUUCUUUAGUUGGCUUUGGGUUCUCAACCUUUCAUAUCUCAGGGUUUUUUGCAGGGUCUCUGACAAACCUAGAGGGCAUUGUCUUCAUGCACCAGACCAAAUGGUGCCUGCAGACCCAAGAAGGAAGAGCUAGGGAGGUGUUAGGUGGUUUUAGUCAUUCUAGCCUGUACAGGACUGCUGAGUUGGGGCACUCCAGGGAGCCCGCAUCUUCUGUGAUUUUAGUGGGUAGACGGAGGAGCAGUUUCCAGAGGUUCUAAAUCAUGGGCUCAUCCUCUGGGAGUGACAAGCGGCCUUUGGAGCACUCUUCCCCUUGGAAGGCGGUGACCUUUCUCCAGGUUGUUCUUCGGCUACAGCAGAAUGUGUCUGUUCUGCUCUCCCUCACAGUGAAAUGCCUAGAAAUAGGAACUGAUAGGAGGUGUUCCAAUUCCACAUGCCCCACUUUCUCUUGAACACACCACAUGCAGGAUUUCACCCGCAUUACUUGACAGAAAAUUGUUCUUGUCAAGGUCACCAUGACCUGCCAGUUGCUAAAUGCAUGGUCAGUGUGCAUCCCCACACCACUUGAUCUAUUAGCAAUGUGUGACCGAGGUGACCGUCUGUCCUCUUUGAGAUGUUUUCUUCUCUUGGUUCUGAGGAUACCCGACUCCCCUGGCUCCCCUCCUCUCUGGUCCCAAGGCAGUUCCUUCUAGUGGUUUUGUUGGCCCAGCCUUAUCUCCAGCCCACUCCAGGGCUCCCCUUUCUGCUCCCUCCCUUCCUCCUCUUUUAUGCCCUACUCUGUUGGCAUUAAAUAUGGUUAUAGAUCGAAUUGAUUCCCCCCAAAAUUUCUACAUUGAGCUGCGAACCCCCAAUGAGAACGUACUUGGAGAUGAGACUUUUGGAAAGUGAUUAGGUUACAAGGAGGUCAUGAGGGUGAGAUUCUCUUGAUGGAAUUAGUACCUUCCCAAGAACAGACACCAGAGAGCUGGUUUCUUCUCUCUCCCUCUGCCAUGUGGGGACAGAGAAAUAAGAUGAUUGUCUCCAAGCUGAGAAGAGAGCCCUCACCAGGGAACUAAGUUGGCCGGCACCUUGAUCUUGGACUUCCCAGCCUCCAGAACUGUGUGGAAUAAAUUCCUGUUGUUUAAGCCACCAGUCUGUGGUAUUUUAUCGUGGCAGCCCAAACAGACUAAUAGAAAUACUGAUUGCUGGCAACCCAUGCAUUUCUGUAUCCAACCUGCAUAUCUUUCCAGAAUGCCAAUCUCAGAUGCCUAAUUGCCCAGUCAGCAUCCCCGCUUGGAUGGUUAAUCAGUAUCCCAAAUUAACAUACCUCAAGAGGAGCUCCUUCACUCCAAAACCUACUACUACAAUCUACUCUAUCUCAGUAAGUGGCAACUCUAUUCUUCUGGUCGAUCAGGUGAAGAACCCUGGAGUUCUUUCUGUCAGAAUUCAUAUCCAAUCCUUCCCUCUAGCUCUGCCUUCAGAUAUAUAUCCCAGACUCAAAGACGUCUUCCUACCCUCACCACUUGCUGCCAUAGUUCAAGCCACCAGCAUCCUGGAUUAUGGUAGUGCCUCCUAAUGGGCUUAGCGCCUGCAGACUUGCCCACCACUCCUGCCUUCUCCCGCCUGUUUUCAGCACAGCAGCUAGCCCACAUGGCGCUUUAGCUGCCCAUCCUCCAAAAGCAUCCAUCUUAGUGUAACAUCCAAACCUUACUGCCGUCUAAGUUCAGCACUGCUGUUGCUCUGAGUUCAUCUCUUGCCACUUGUCCCACACAACCUUAUCCCUCUUCCGUCCUAUCCUGCUACAUGGUGUUCCUUGUUAUUCUCUUCCUCAAACCCCAGGAUUCUCCUGCUUCAGAACCUUUGCACAUGCUGUUCCUUUUGCCUGGGAUACUGACCCUUCAUAUAUUUGCAUGGCACACUUACCAUGUUCAUCAAGCCAACCAGUCAUUUCCUCUAAGUGGUCUUCCCUGACCACCUAUCCUACCUAACAUCCUACCCCCCCCACCAUGCUCCUUUAUUUCCUCUACAUCACCGAAUCAUGUUUGUUUUCUGUUUACUUUCUUAUCCUGUUCCUCCUAGAGAAUGUAAACUCCCUGAGUUUAAGAAGCCUUGUUUCACUGCUGCAACUCUAACACCUUAACAGCUUCUGGCCCCUAGUUGGUGCGUAGUAAUAUCUGUGGAGAGAAUGAAUGAAUCCAUGUCUCAACAACCAAGAGCCAACAUGUUUGUCAACAAUUUCUUGGAAGAUUUUAGGUUAUUGGUGCUUCUUUAUUAAAGAAGCAUCAUUUGAGCUUCAAAAUGAGAUUGUGCAUGUCACUGUUUCUUUCCAAUGUAAAAUAUAAUUUGUUGUUGUUGUUGAAAAUGGGAGAUUUAAAUUUGGUGAAGAUUUUUGUCUCUAGCAUUCUGCGAAUGGAUUAAAUGGGCCAAGGUGUCCUUUGAUUAUGUUUAGUUAAAUUCAACAGGCACUGAUUGCUCCCCACCACAUUCCAGAUUCUGUGGGAGACAGAAAUGCAGUUUGCUUAGAUAGGAACCUGCCCUCAAGAUGCUCACAGCCAUCUAGAGAUACGGAACACAGACUACCAUUCACUUCAAAAUUUAAAAAUUUUGAUAAACAGUACCAGGUUUGGGGGGGCACCUGGGUGGCCCAUUUGGUGAAGCAUCAGACUUCCACUCAGGUCAUGGUCUCAUGGAUCCAACCCCCAGUCAUCUCCCCGCUCAGCAGGGAGUCUGAUUCUCCCUCUGCCCUUUCCCCUGCUCAUGCUCUCUCUCUCUCUCAAAUAAAUAAAUAAAUGAGUCAAAUAGUAUCAUGUUUCUAUUCCCAUCAGGAGGCUGAUGUCCAAUGAGAACAUUAAUGUCCGCAGGCAGAUUACAUGUCAAACUUCCUCUAAAGGGAAGUGCCGGGGCCAGAUAAAUUCAUGUGGUCCAAAGAGCACAGCAUCGAUAGAUAAAUGUCAUAAGGGAGCUGAAAACGAAGGGCUGUGGGUGAUCUGAAAAGGAAAUAGUCACAUCUCUUGGGGGAUAUUAUGGAUGGCUUCAUGCGACCAUGGCUGAGCUUGGCAGGUAGGGAAGUGGGGCAGUGAGAGCCAGGGGGAAAGGGCACCUGAGCACAGGUGUGCAAUGGUAGAUUCUGGGACUUUUUCUAGAAGUGGUGAUGGCCAAAUGUGGCUAAAGCAUGGAGCAGGAAUGGGGGAGAAGUCGGCAUUUGCAAUGGAGGACAACCGAAAUCAUGGUUAGUAAAAAUAUCUUUUCCAAAAGUGACAGGAUUGGGAAACAGAAGCUUUGUUUUUGUGACAAUAACUAAAAUGAUACUUUGAAUCUGAUCAUUCUCACUUGCUAUGUAACGUUUGUGCAAUAAAGUUCUGGACUCCUCAAAGAA
Molecule: long non-coding RNA, 6469 nt
Organism: Mustela lutreola (European mink)
Lineage: Eukaryota; Metazoa; Chordata; Mammalia; Carnivora; Mustelidae
Exons: 2
Source: RefSeq, a predicted model, not a curated record